UCCUGACACGUCCAUACGUACAGACCUGAGUGACAAAGACAAGUGACACUAUAACAGAAAGGCCGUUAGACGUCACUAGCAGAUAAAAUGAAAGGAAUAAAAGGGAGGAACAUCUUCCUCUCCAUCUAAUCUUAGACUCAUACUGUAAACUCCAUUAUGGCCAAGUGUGGGUUCCACAAGAAGAUUGUAUAUAGCAGAGAUAUUAACAUCCUUUAUAUUCUACGUUCUACAUCCACCAAUCAAAAAAUUUAUAUAUUUAACUUUUUAUUGUGAAUGGAUUAUAAAAUUUUUUAAAAAC
RNAcentral lists this long non-coding RNA (298 nucleotides) under Manihot esculenta (cassava). RNAcentral describes it as "long non-coding RNA (MESC_LNC000707)". The record is from RNAcentral. Lineage: Eukaryota; Viridiplantae; Streptophyta; Magnoliopsida; Malpighiales; Euphorbiaceae.